AGAAUCUUUCGCAAUGCCCGAAAGGGUGACGAAGCGACGCCGCGUGCGGGAAGAAGGCCUUCGGGUUGUAAACCACUGUCGGGAGUUAAGAAGUGUAAGGGUGUUAAGAGCAUCCUUACUUGACGUUAGCUCCGGAGGAAGCCACGGCUAACUCUGUGCCAGCAGCCGCGGUAAUACAGAGGUGGCAAGCGUUGUUCGGAAUUAUUGGGCGUAAAGAGCACGUAGGCGGCCCUGCAAGUCAGCUGUGAAAUCCUUCUGCUCAACGGAAGAACGGCAGUUGAUACUACAGGGCUAGAGUGCGGGAGGGGAGAGUGGAACUUCUGGUGGAGCGGUGAAAUGCGUAGAUAUCAGAAGGAACAUCGGCGGCGAAAGCGACUCUCUGGUCCGUAACUGACGCUGAGGUGCGAAAGCUAGGGGAGCAAACGGGAUUAGAUACCCCGGUAGUCCUAGCCGUAAACGAUGGGCACUCGGUAGAGGGGUUUUGAUUAUCUCUCUGCCUGAGCUAACGCGUUAAGUGCCCCGCCUGGGGAGUACGGCCGCAAGGCUAAGACUCAAAAGAAUUGACGGGGGCUCGCACAAGCGGUGGAGCAUGUGGCUUAAUUCGAUGCAACACGAAGAACCUUACCGGGGCUUGACAUGGUAGAAGUAGGAGCCCGAAAGGGUAACGAACGGUAUCCAGUCCGUCACUAUCACAGGUGUUGCAUGGCUG
RNAcentral lists this ribosomal RNA (709 nucleotides) under uncultured anaerobic ammonium-oxidizing bacterium. RNAcentral describes it as "bacterial SSU rRNA". It matches the Rfam family "Bacterial small subunit ribosomal RNA", at positions 358 to 1051 of the family's 1533-position model. The record is from RNAcentral.